GACGAACGCUGGCGGCGUGCUUAACACAUGCAAGUCGAACGGAAAGGCCCUGCUUGCAGGGUACUCGAGUGGCGAACGGGUGAGUAACACUUGGGUGAUCUGCCCUGCACUUCGGGAUAAGCCUGGGAAACUGGGUCUAAUACCGGAUAGGAGCCAUUUUUAGUGUGAUGGUUGGAAAGUUUUUUCGGUGUAGGAUGAGCUCGCGGCCUAUCAGCUUGUUGGUGGGGUAGUGGCCUACCAAGGCGGCGACGGGUAGCCGGCCUGAGAGGGUGGACGGCCACAUUGGGACUGAGAUACGGCCCAGACUCCUACGGGAGGCAGCAGUGGGGAAUAUUGCACAAUGGGCGCAAGCCUGAUGCAGCGACGCCGCGUGGGGGAUGACGGCCUUCGGGUUGUAAACUCCUUUCGCUAGGGACGAAGCUUUUGUGACGGUACCUAGAUAAGAAGCACCGGCUAACUACGUG
Molecule: ribosomal RNA, 464 nt
Filed under: uncultured bacterium
Lineage: Bacteria
Description: partial 16S ribosomal RNA
Rfam family: Bacterial small subunit ribosomal RNA
Source: RNAcentral